Molecule: ribosomal RNA, 678 nt
Filed under: uncultured bacterium
Lineage: Bacteria
Description: bacterial SSU rRNA
Rfam family: Bacterial small subunit ribosomal RNA
Source: RNAcentral
AACACAUGCAAGUUGAGCGGAGGUAGAUGGAGCUUGCUCUAUGUACCUUAGCAGCGAACGGGUGAGUAACACGUAGAUAAUCUGUCCUAUAUUGGGGGAUAGCCCGAUGAAAGUUGGAUUAAUACCGCAUACAGCUAUAUAGUUGCAUGAUUAUAUAGUGAAAGAUUUAUUGAUAUAGGAGGAGUCUGCGGCACAUUAGCUAGUAGGUGAGGUAAGAGCUUACCUAGGCGACGAUGUGUAGCCGGUCUGAGAGGAUGAACGGCCACAAUGGAACUGAGACACGGUCCAUACUCCUACGGGAGGCAGCAGUGGGGAAUAUUGCACAAUGGGGGAAACCCUGAUGCAGCAACGCCGCGUGAGUGAAGAAGGUUUUCGGAUUGUAAAGCUCUGUUAGCAGGGAAGAGGAAGGACGGUACCUGCAGAGGAAGCCACGGCUAACUACGUGCCAGCAGCCGCGGUAAUACGUAGGUGGCAAGCGUUGUUCGGAAUAACUGGGCGUAAAGGAUGCGUAGGCGGUUAAAUAAGUUAUAUGUUAAAUAUAUAGGCUUAACCUGUAGAAAGCAUAUAAAACUGUUUAACUAGAGUGCAGGAGAGGUAAGUGGAAUUCCUAGUGUAGCGGUGAAAUGCGUAGAGAUUAGGAAGAACACCAGUGGCGAAGGCGGCUUACUGGACUGUAAC